RNAcentral lists this long non-coding RNA (983 nucleotides) under Macaca mulatta (Rhesus monkey). Its description in RNAcentral is "lncRNA (ENSMMUG00000064394.1)". The record is from RNAcentral. Lineage: Eukaryota; Metazoa; Chordata; Mammalia; Primates; Cercopithecidae.
CUGGGAUUUGAGAACGUUUGCAGAGUGAGGUUUCCGGAGUGAGUUGGGGCUUGAGGCAGGUAGAGCCUCCCAUCCUGGUCCCUGGAUUCUGUUGGGUUUUGGUUUGGUUCCUGUAGGACUACUUCAAGCUGGCUGGAGAAGGGACUUUUUCUGAUUUCUUACCCCCCAGAUUCUUCCACAAAACGAAUUGGCUCCAGCCAGUCUGGAGUUGCCUGUCUUCUUGUUUUUUAGAUGAGAGGGAAGCAGAGCAUAAUGAACUGAUGCAACAGGCAAGAUCCCUGGUCUUCAGAAGGAAAUAGUCUCCUCUCCUGCUGACUUUGUGAGGCAAAGCAGAUCAGAAAGGGUGAAAAUUCUUUCACCAGAGAUGGGCAAACUGAGACCGCAAGCCCUGGAGAUGUGCUCAGGCAGAUGUGCAGGUCCCCUGCUCCAGCUUCCAGGCUCCCAGCUUCAGUCUUCAGUCGGCCUUUGUUCUGCCGCUUUCUCCUGGAAGUCACACCGCCCUCUCUUCCUGCCUGCCACAUCGCAGGAGUCUGCACGCACCCAACCGGCUCAAGAGGCUCUGACAGCCAGGAAUGUCUGGAAGUCAACACUCCAGCUGCUGAAAUCCAGAACUCAGAAAAGAUGCACAUAAAUAGACUUUGGUUGCAGCAUGAAAUAUUGGGUUAGACAUCAAGGGGGACUUCCUAGUCAAUGAGGUUGUGUAGGCAGAGGAAGAAAUGGAGGAAAAUCAUUAAAUCUUCUACUCUGUGGGAAAGGUGGUUUUGUGGGAGGCACUCCAGUGCCUUUGGGUGAAACCUUGCGCCACGUUCCUGGAGGCCUGGGUGGCGGCAAUGAAAGGAUGAAGUCAAUGCAGCCCUGUUGGAAGGCUACUGGGGACAAUGCAGCACCGCUCUCCCAUUUUACAACUGCAGAAACUGAGGCAGGAUCCUGCAACAAAUGUUUACAGAAGGCCCGUGCAUGCCAGCCUUAUUCUGAGUUCUGAG